This is a non-coding RNA of Acanthosepion pharaonis, 101 nucleotides long. The record is from the annotation of a GenBank genome assembly. Lineage: Eukaryota; Metazoa; Mollusca; Cephalopoda; Sepiida; Sepiidae.
AUCACGUUGAAAACACCUGUUCCCGUACGAUCACUGAAGUUAAGCAACGUCGAGCCUGGUGAGAACCUAGAUGGGUGACCGCUUGGGACUACCAGGUGCUG